CGCCUUCUAUCCAGCCUUCAAGCCAUCGCGGAAUAAUAAUAGCGUUGGUGGAGUUGCGGUUUUAGUUAAGACUUCGCUUCGUCAUUUUCCACAAAGGGUCAUUGAGACACGCA
Drosophila miranda is the source of this 113-nucleotide long non-coding RNA. RefSeq lists it as uncharacterized. Lineage: Eukaryota; Metazoa; Arthropoda; Insecta; Diptera; Drosophilidae. The record is from RefSeq and is a predicted model, not a curated record. The transcript has 3 exons.